Long non-coding RNA from Gavialis gangeticus (Gharial), 2505 nucleotides. RefSeq lists it as uncharacterized. Lineage: Eukaryota; Metazoa; Chordata; Crocodylia; Gavialidae. The record is from RefSeq and is a predicted model, not a curated record. The transcript has 2 exons.
UGAAGCAGGAUUGGAAGAACAAUGAUCUUAUAUUUGCCUGUGGUUUUGAAUGCCAGAUCUUUAGUCGGUGUGUGCAUCCUUCCUAGUGGUUACACUGCUUGGAAACAGUUCUAGGGCCUGUAAAAGCCAGGACACGUUUCUUUAAGUAGAGGUUUUGCAGAUGUAACUUCACUACUGUGAACUAUUACUGCCUGCAAAGUCUGAGGUGACUGAUGAACAGCGCGUACAAGACCAAGGAUGCCCUGAAUGAAUUAAUCAGUACAUCUGAGUAAGAACUGUUACAGGUAGAUCAGGGGAAUCUCAUUACCAACUUGAGAAGAUUUCAUUUUUGAGAGGGAGAAGAAACGGUUCUCAAAAUCCUUUCAUGGGCAUGUAAAUUAUGCUGUUUUUUAGGAAAUGCAGCACAGUAAACUUCUUUAUAUGAGAAAUUAGUGCGUCCAAGCACUGCAUUUAUUUCAGACAGAUGCUGAGUUAAAAUACACCAAACAUAAUGUGAAGUUUUUAGAGGCAGAAUCCUGUCCCACCCCAACUACCACCGUGUAUUUAAUCACCAAAUUGACAACUUCCUUGACCAGUUGAAACAGUGUAUAGCAAAACAAGGAGAGAAAUCAAACAUCACUUGGAGGAAAUAAAUCAACACAUUUCUCUCAUUUAUGUGCCUAAAUGUGGAAAGCUGAUUGUGUUCCUUAAACAGCUAAAGCAUCCCACCAAUGCAUUUUGCAACACAGCAGUCAACAUGAAACCCACAACUUCACUGGGCUUCAUUGAGCAUCUGUGGAAGAUUAAGAGAUACUGUGUAAACAUUUCAUGAUUUUCAAAGGGAAAUGGCAAGUAGAGAAAGAUUCAAAAUAUCUGAAGAUGAAUGAACUUAAGGAAAUGUUUCAGGUUAUUCAGGAAGUCACUGUUAAAAAUGGGCUUUCCUUUCGUGUCAGUAGGAUAGAAGGGGGAAUUAAUCAUCAGCUCACAAGAGUGCUAGAAAGACUGUGCCUCAAUGGGCAAAAUUUCUGCAAGCUCCAGGAGGUGUCUGGAAAUUGCAUCAUCAAACACUAGGUUCUAAAUUAACUAUAUACCAACUCUGGAUAAAGAACUACACAUCACUCCAGACAGCUCAGGUUCUGUUUAUUGUUGAAUAGCAGUCAAAAAAGCAAACAAAAUGUUAGGAUGUAUAAGAAAUUAAAUGAAAAUAAUAUAUAACAUAAUUAUAAAGAGCAAAGGUACAUCCUCACUUGAAACACCGUGUUAAUCUGUAAUCAUGCUAUGUAAACAUGGAUAUAGCAGGAAUAAAAUGGUUUCAGUGAUGAGUUAUAUGAAUGAUUAGGGGCAUGAAAAAAUGGACAUGAAGAGGGAUUGAAAAUAGUGGGAGGGAUUGAAAAUAGUGGGACAGCUUACUGCAGACAGAUGAAAAGAGAUUUACCAAAUAAUGACUCAUACGGCAUAGCCAAGUUGGAACCUUCUCCCUGCCUCGUAAUAUGAAAAGGUGACAGUCAAAGAAAUUGUAAAAGAGCAAACUUAAAAUGGAAACCAAAGAAAUACCUUUCCAUACAUGGCAUAAUUAAGCUAGUGUAUAGACCUCACUGGCACAAUAAACCACCAAAGUCAAGAGCUCACAAGAAAUUCCAAACAGGACAGGGCAUUAUGUGGCUAGUGAGAGAAUAAGUGUCACUUAAAAAAAAAAAAAGCUAAAUAUAUUUGGAAGGGUUCUAAACUCUCAGGCUUUGGGCUGGUGUUGCCACGUUUCUGAAGGAGUUAUGUGUUUAACUUCCUAUUGGAAUUCAAUGGGAUGUCAGCAUCUAGUUCUUUUAAGCUCCUUCGCCACAAGCAAACUUCUAAAUGACAGAUUUUGGGAUGUACUUUUUCUUUGGGGCAAAUUAUUCUGUAACAGUCUAUAACAGGGUUUGUUCCACCUUCCUCUGUAGCAUCCUGUACUGGCUACUGGUUUAAAAUAUUAUGAUAACUCCCAUGUUCCUAUUACAUUUUCAACUAGCACCAUUUUGUACAGGCCAUUUUACCAUGUUGAAAAUAUGUAUUAUAAUAUACUUUUUCAAUUGAUCCCAUAUUUUAUUGGAAUUAUAUGGCCCACUUCAUAAUCUAUAGCUGAUGCUUAUUUCUAAUUGCUCUGCGAAUAUCAAAUAUCCAAAUGACUGCCUUAAAGAAGAGGGAGAAUAUCUGUCCUCACUUGCUGCAGAGGGAAAGACAUGAAGCAAUGGCUUUAAAUUAUAGCAAAGUGGAUUUCAAUUAGAGAUCAGGAAAACGUCCUUACUGAUAGAAGAGUAAGGCAGUGGAAUAGACUGCCCCGGGAAGGCAUGGCAUCUCUUUCAUUGGAGGCUUUCAAGACCAGGCUGGAUGUAUUGGAAAGGGGAUGGUUUCAGAGUAGCAUUCCUACAUUUGUACCGAGGGGUGGACCCGAUGAUUCUUGAGGUCCCCUUCUAAGCCUAUGGCUCUACAAUGAAAGUAUGCAUUUAAUUUUAAAACUUUGUUAAACUAAUCAAUAUUGACAUUUUAAAA